This is a long non-coding RNA of Branchiostoma belcheri (Belcher's lancelet), 1239 nucleotides long. RefSeq lists it as uncharacterized. NCBI's taxonomy places the organism in Eukaryota, Metazoa, Chordata, Leptocardii, Amphioxiformes, Branchiostomatidae. The transcript is spliced from 3 exons. The record is from RefSeq and is a predicted model, not a curated record.
AGGUGUUUCGGCCAUGUUAUUUACAACUCCCCUAUCCUCCCGGUUAUUAUAGAUCCUCCCCUAUUUACGGAUCUGCCAGUGACCGUGUCAAAGUAGGCCGGAGGAGUCAGGUUACAUGUCUGUCUGACGGGAGGGGCGAUCCACUGACGAGGUAAGCUGACCGGUUGCAGCGCCGCCUAUGAGUGUCCUCCCGUCCCGAAAGACUGUGUGGAGACACGGGACAUCCCGGACUACUGCACCGUCUGCACCAAAAGGGGCUGCAAAUCUCCCACCAAGGGCAAAUAUCUCAGUAUAGGCGAGACGCACAUCCAGGAAAAGGCUUGUCUGAGAUGUGAGUGUGUGGAAGGCGGCACGCUGCAGUGCAGCGACAUGCCGGGGUGUUCCUGAGAUCGACACACAACUGGGAAAGACUGACACCUGGCGAAAGUUUUCAAAACUGCUGUAGUUUCGUCGAUAUAGGCGGAACCCUCGACAUACUUAUUCUUUACUGUCUGGUUAAUCCCUUUCACAUUAAACCUCAAGUUGACACUGUGAACAAACUGUCUACUAGUACUAGUAUUCUAUCCAUACGCAUAUCUGUAACAAAUAACAAAAAUUAAUGAACUUUCAAAAACGGUCUUUUCUCUCUUUUGUUCAAUCAAUGGCAACUGAUGGCAUCACUCGCGUUUUUAAGUUUUUGUGUCCUUCCUACCAUGCACUUGCAGUGGCACUUGAGUCCUAUCCUUACAGAAUUCCCAAUUGUAUUUAUAGUAAAAUGACCAAGUACAAGGACUAGCCUGUCUCAUUCAUGACGUCGUCAAAUGGGACAUAUAAUUCUGGGGGACUCUGGGGGCUGUAGUAAUAAUGAUAACUAGAGUUCCCCGCUCUCAUACCUUCGCCAAAUGAUGUUAAUCUUUAUGAGUGACAAAUUAUAGAUUAUUUCCCCUGAUUUAACAAAUAGGAUCCUCAUUUUCAUGAAUUAUAUCAGUUUAUCAUAUUCUCAACCAAAAGACAGCCUUAUCUUAACAAACACUGCCAUCCUAGCAUUUCCUCAUUUAUUAUGCAAAUGAGGCCCUGAUUUGAAUACAUGUUUAAUGAUGUUCAUCUUCACUGAACUUUCAAAUACCCCAAGUAUGUAAUUCCAGGCACUUAUCAUUACAUAAUUAUAAUUUUUUAUUAAUUAUGCAAAUUAUGUCUUCAUUUACUGCUUGUAUACGCUAGUCAAGAACAUGUGGAAAUACAUGUAUACGGUGAAGUCUA